GCUGGGUAUGGUGGCACAUACCUGUAAUUCCAGAGAACUGGGAGGCUGAGGCAGGAGGACCACAAGUUCAAGACCAGCCUCAGCAACUUAAUAAGGCCCUGAGCAACUCAGUGGGACCCUGUCUCAA
Molecule: small RNA, 127 nt
Filed under: Marmota monax (woodchuck)
Lineage: Eukaryota; Metazoa; Chordata; Mammalia; Rodentia; Sciuridae
Source: RNAcentral